CGAGACCUCAGGUCAGGCGGGGCUACCCGCUGAAUUUAAGCAUAUCAAUAAGCGGAGGAAAAGAAACUAACAAGGAUUCCCUUAGUAACGGCGAGCGAACCGG
This 103-nucleotide ribosomal RNA is filed under the name Astragalus austriacus. Its description in RNAcentral is "partial 26S ribosomal RNA". It matches the Rfam family "Eukaryotic large subunit ribosomal RNA", at positions 1 to 101 of the family's 3401-position model. The record is from RNAcentral. RNAcentral also lists the same sequence under 4 other names. Lineage: Eukaryota; Viridiplantae; Streptophyta; Magnoliopsida; Fabales; Fabaceae.